This 529-nucleotide ribosomal RNA is filed under the name uncultured bacterium. Its description in RNAcentral is "bacterial SSU rRNA". It matches the Rfam family "Bacterial small subunit ribosomal RNA", at positions 777 to 1304 of the family's 1533-position model. The record is from RNAcentral.
AAUAGAUACCCCGGUAGUCCACGCCGUAAACGAUGAGUGCUAAGUGUUAGAGGGUUUCCGCCCUUUAGUGCUGCAGCUAACGCAUUAAGCACUCCGCCUGGGGAGUACGGUCGCAAGACUGAAACUCAAAGGAAUUGACGGGGGCCCGCACAAGCGGUGGAGCAUGUGGUUUAAUUCGAAGCAACGCGAAGAACCUUACCAGGUCUUGACAUCCUCUGACAACUCUAGAGAUAGAGCGUUCCCCUUCGGGGGACAGAGUGACAGGUGGUGCAUGGUUGUCGUCAGCUCGUGUCGUGAGAUGUUGGGUUAAGUCCCGCAACGAGCGCAACCCUUGAUCUUAGUUGCCAGCAUUCAGUUGGGCACUCUAAGGUGACUGCCGGUGACAAACCGGAGGAAGGCGGGGAUGACGUCAAAUCAUCAUGCCCCUUAUGACCUGGGCUACACACGUGCUACAAUGGAUGGUACAAAGGGCUGCAAGACCGCGAGGUCAAGCCAAUCCCAUAAAACCAUUCUCAGUUCGGAUUGUAGG